GACAGAGGUUUCAAUGAGGUUGAAGUGCUGCUCCAAACUGACGCCGAAGGCCACAAAAACACAUCGAUCAUUUGGUGAUUGAACAGAUGAGCCUUAUAUGAACCGAGAAGA
Non-coding RNA from Caenorhabditis elegans, 111 nucleotides. The record is from Ensembl. NCBI's taxonomy places the organism in Eukaryota, Metazoa, Nematoda, Chromadorea, Rhabditida, Rhabditidae.